GGGGCUGUAGCUCAGUUUGGGAGAGCGCUUGAAUGGCAUUCAAGAGGUCGUCGGUUCGAUCCCGAUCAGCUCCA
This 74-nucleotide transfer RNA is filed under the name bacterium. Its description in RNAcentral is "tRNA-Ala". It matches the Rfam family "tRNA". From Rfam's summary of the family: Transfer RNA (tRNA) molecules are approximately 80 nucleotides in length. Their secondary structure includes four short double-helical elements and three loops (D, anti-codon, and T loops). Further hydrogen bonds mediate the characteristic L-shaped molecular structure. tRNAs have two regions of fundamental functional importance: the anti-codon, which is responsible for specific mRNA codon recognition, and the 3' end, to which the tRNAs corresponding amino acid is attached (by aminoacyl-tRNA synthetases). tRNAs cope with the degeneracy of the genetic code in two manners: having more than one tRNA (with a specific anti-codon) for a particular amino acid; and 'wobble' base-pairing, i.e. permitting non-standard base-pairing at the 3rd anti-codon position. The record is from RNAcentral. RNAcentral also lists the same sequence under 3 other names.